RNAcentral lists this long non-coding RNA (3004 nucleotides) under Sus scrofa (pig). Its description in RNAcentral is "lncRNA (ENSSSCG00000057346.1)". Lineage: Eukaryota; Metazoa; Chordata; Mammalia; Artiodactyla; Suidae. The record is from RNAcentral.
AAAUAUGGAAAUAGACCAAGACCAUCCCAGUGAGAAUAAGCGAAGCCUAUUUAUUCAGAGCUUGUUAUUGUAAGACAGUCAGACUCCAUCACUUGAAUUGGCCAAGACUCAAAGGCAGGCAGAUGAGCGGGAAUACUUGAUAGUGGGAAAACAACAACAAACAAAAGAACCCCAGGAAGGCAUCAGCUGUGCCCUGAUCAAGGGUGUCAACAUGGGGAAGCCAGAGGUGAGCUAAUGAGCAAUGGGGCAGCUUAUGUGAUAGGCUAUGCUGGCCUCUUUGGCUUUCUCCACUUAUUCUCAAGUUGGAAGAAGAGGCAAAAAUUAGGAAAGCUGUCGAUUAUUGAUCAAGUCCUGGAUGUUUGUGGUCAGUGGCUGCAGAGGUUGUGGUUUGGCGUCCUGGGCUGGUUACUGUAAGUUGUGGGUUAGAGUUCUAUCUUUCUACAUGGUCUGGUCAUUAUCCAUUAGAAUUUUCAGUCUCUCAGCUUCAGCUCAAUGCAAAUUUGCUACCUUAAGGUCUCUCCCUGCAUCUUCUGCAGUUUUCUUACAGCUCACACCUUUCAUUUGCAUACCCUCCUCUUUGUCCAGUAAUGUCGCUGCUUUCUCUCUGGCCUCAUCUCCGCAUUAGGCUGCUGUUUAUCUCAAAUGUCUGGGGGCUCCCACAACAGCCAAUACUAUCUCACUGUUCCCCAAAUGGGGAGGGUACCCAGGCACUAGUCAGUCUCCAAUCUCUAGUCCUAGCCUUCCUCCUCAUUUAACACCCAAGAUUUCCCUCUCAACAUCUAUCUUCCUUCAUACCUUCUCCACUGGUAUCCCCUCUGCCAAAUUCUUACAUCCCUGCUAUGCAUGGAAUUUCCAUUGCAUUUUUGUUUUUGUUUUUAUGGCUGAGAGAUGUGGCAUAUGGAAGUUCCUAGGCUAUGGGUUGUAUUGGAGCUGCAGCUGCUGGGCCUGCACCACAGCUACAGCAACACCUGAUCUGAGCUGCAUCUGGGACCUACAUCACAGCUUGCAGCAAUGCCAGAUCUUUAACCCACUGAGUGAGGCCAGGGAUCGAACCUGCAUCCUCAUGGAUAUUAUGUCAGGUUCUUAACGCACUGAGCCACAGGGGAACUCCCUUCAUUGUUUCUUUGCUGGGACUACAGCAGCUUUGGGUCUCUUCAUAAUGUUCCUGAAACUAAUAGCAUUUAUGACUUGAACCUAGCUAGAACCCAGAUUGGGACUUGAACCCAUGGUUUUUAAAUUAGAAUCACUUACCUUCUGUCUGGACUUACUGAGGUUUGGGUGCCUUGUGUCUCAGCACAGAAGGAAUUCAGAGAAAGAGAAAGUGAUAGGCAAGAAAUAGAUUUAUUAAGAAAAGAUGCUUGUGAGAGAUGCAAGCGGGUAGGCAAGGAGGCUCUGCCCCCAAGAUUAGAUAGGCAACAUUUUUUAUAAUCCAAAGGAAACGGGGGUGGGAAAAGACCGCCUCUUCCUCUUUUACCAGUAGUAGCUCCUCACUGGUAUCUUAUAAGGUCAAAUUAGGACUGUCAAGGUGCUUAUCCAAAUCAGCAGGCGGUUGGUCCUUAAACUCCUGCCCUUGGUCUGACCCUGAAUGUAGGCUUCACCCCGUCCCCCACCCAAUGACCUGAGGCCUAUCUCAUGCCUCCAUUAAUCAAGCAAGCCUGCCUCAUUCUGAUGGCCCUCCCAAGUGAUCACCAACCUACAGUGAUCUCCCAAAGCUCCCCAGGCUCCCCCCCUCCAUCCCUACAACCACAAUCACCACAACCACCCAAGCAACUAUCCUACUCCAUCCCUAUCAUUCUGACCACCCCACCAUGCUUGGCCUCUUCUCAUGCAAUCCCCCACUCCAUCUCUUGCUGCCAUCUCAGCAAACAUCACUGAGGAUCUCCAAAUUACAAGUAAUUCCAAGUUCUAACAAUUUGCUUCCCUGAUCCUCUCUUACCAGCAAAAAUAAAAGUUUCUCAUAAAAGAAACUAAGUUCCUUUGAAUUCUUGAGACUUGAUGGUCCUCCGUGAGAUAUUAGCAUAGCGAGCAGCCUUUUACUCACUCUUCCAUGACUUCCUUGGAAGAGACCCUCUUUCUCACAGUAAAAGAAUCUCUAUGCUGUUAGAAAGCAAAAGCUUUAAAAAAGAAAAGAAAACAAUACAAAAACAUGCCAGAAAGGCUUAAGUUUCCUCACAGCCUUCCUCACCCCCCAGGCUUAAAUGGCUUAUUGCCAUGGUUGGCCAAUUAACUGAGCAUGGCUUAGUCAUAAUUAUUCUGAUGUAAACUGUAUAUAUGCUGUUCCUUGUUCUCUUUAGGAUGUGAGGACAGCAAUGUAGUCUGAUAUAGUUUAUUUAUAGAGCUAAGUCAGUGCUGGCUCACCAGGAGCUCUUAAAUGCUAUUGAUAAAUAAUGCACCGAUGGAGCUCUGGUUUGGAACUGGAUUCAACCUGGAGUUCAAACACAUUCUCCCUCUGGUUAUAACCUCCUCAUAUGCUAGCAAAACGCAUCCGUGAAGUUCUCCAGGAGUGACUAGAGAGUGAGAAACAGCCCCAGAGAAAUAAAGUUUGUGCUUUCUGAGCUGUUGAGAAUCUCUGUCCUAGCAACAUCAAUUUUCAGCUUAAGAUGAGGCUUCUGUGGAAGGCACAGCCUGUGCCUUCUUUCAGCUGAUUUGGAAAUACAAAGACGGCUUCAUAAAGAGGCUGAUCAUGGCAUUGUGAGCACCAAGUGUGCAAUUUAUAGCUGGCAAUUCAGAAGGAGUGAUGUAUUAGGUCGACUAUGAGGAAGAUGCAGUAGUUCUUAUCCUUAAUGAGCUUAGAGUUUAAGGUCCAAUGAAACUACUGUCAAGUUCCAGAAACCUUAAAAAACUCCCAGAGUUCCUGCUGUGGUGCAGUGGGAUCAGUGGCAUCUUGGUAGAGCUGGAAUGCAGGUUUGAUCCCUGGCCUCACACAGUGGGUUAAGGAUCUGUUGUUGCCUCUGGUGUAACUAGGGCUUGGAUAUGAUCCCUUGCUGGGGAAUGGCAGGGCAGC